UACGUAGGGGGCAAGCGUUGUCCGGAAUCAUUGGGCGUAAAGAGCUCGUAGGCGGUUUGUCGCGUCUGCUGUGAAAACUCGGGGCUUAACCCCGGGCCUGCAGUGGGUACGGGCAGACUAGAGUGCGGUAGGGGAGACUGGAAUUCCUGGUGUAGCGGUGAAAUGCGCAGAUAUCAGGAGGAACACCGGUGGCGAAGGCGGGUCUCUGGGCCGUAACUGACGCUGAGGAGCGAAAGCGUGGGGAGCGAGCAGG
RNAcentral lists this ribosomal RNA (253 nucleotides) under uncultured bacterium. RNAcentral's name for it is "partial 16S ribosomal RNA". It matches the Rfam family "Bacterial small subunit ribosomal RNA", at positions 524 to 776 of the family's 1533-position model. The record is from RNAcentral.